This 1445-nucleotide ribosomal RNA is filed under the name Hebius craspedogaster (Kuatun keelback). Its description in RNAcentral is "16S ribosomal RNA". It matches the Rfam family "Bacterial large subunit ribosomal RNA", at positions 433 to 2831 of the family's 2925-position model. The record is from RNAcentral. Lineage: Eukaryota; Metazoa; Chordata; Lepidosauria; Squamata; Natricidae.
GCUGGACAAACACACACAAACAUCUAUUAUACACUAAACAAACCAUUUGACCAACCAAGUAGAUGCGAUCGAACAGUAAAUCACACCACAAGUACCGUAAGGGAAACAACAUUUAAGCAGAAAACAGCAAAGACUAACCCUUGUACCUUUCGCAUUAUGGUUUAGCAAGAAAACAAGGACAAGAAGAAUCAUAGCCCACACCCCCGAAACCAGGUGAGCUACUUUAAAGUAGCCCACAGGGCUCACCCUUCUCUGUAGCAAAAGAGUGGGAAAACUUAAAAGUAGAAGUGAAACGCCUACCGAACCUGGAGAUAGCUGGCUACCCAAAAAGGAAUAUUAGUUCCACUUUAGAUCAAAACAUAAAUACUUAUAACCUAAAGACAAUCAAUAGGGGUACAGCUCUAUUGAAACAGGAAACAACCUGAAUUUGAGAGGAAAAAAUCUAUGCACACCAGUAGGACUUUAAGCAGCCACCCACAAAAAUAUCGUUAAAGAAUUAACAUUAAAAAUUCCCAAACUAACUAAAACCUCCAAACAAACUAAAGGUGAGCCCAUCCCUAUGGGCAAAAUUAUGCUAAAACUAAUAAUAAGACAACUUCUCUACACGCACCUAUCCCCUAGAACGGAACAACCACUAGCCAUUAACAGACCACAAUAGGAAAUACAACUAAACAAUACCCACCUUUACACAAACUGUGACCCCAACACAGGAGCGAUAAAAAGAAAGAUUAAUCAUUAUAAAAGGAACUCGGCAAACAACGACCCCAACUGUUUAACAAAAACAUAACCUUUAGCCAAACAAGUAUUAAAGGCAACGCCUGCCCAGUGAAUAAUUAAACGGCCGCGGUACCCUAACCGUGCAAAGGUAGCAUAAUCACUUGUCUAUUAAUUGUAGACCCGUAUGAAAGGCAAAAUGAGGGUUAAGCUGUCUCUUAUAAUAGAUCUAUUAAACUGAUCUCCUAGUAAAAAAGCUAAGAUGAUAACAUAAGACCAGAAGACCCUGUGAAGCUUAAACUAACCUAUUAAACCAAAUAAUAGUUACUUUCGGUUGGGGCGACCUUGGAAACAAAAAGAACUUCCAAACACAUAUGUGAAUAUACAAACGCUAUAGGCCCACAAGCCAACUAAACGACCCAGCAAAGCUGAUAAUUGAACAAAGUUACUCCAGGGAUAACAGCGCUAUCUUCUUCAAGAGCCCAUAUCAAAAAGAAGGUUUACGACCUCGAUGUUGGAUCAGGACAUCCUAGUGGUGCAACCGCUAUUAAGGGUUCGUUUGUUCAACGAUUAAUGUCCUACGUGAUCUGAGUUCAGACCGGAGCAAUCCAGGUCGGUUUCUAUCUAUGAUUAACUAAACCUAGUACGAAAGGAUCGGUAUAGUAAAGCCAAUACCAAAAGCAAGCUUUAAUACACAAUAAACAUAUUACCUUAAACCCAGAUAAGGUUAA